RNAcentral lists this ribosomal RNA (253 nucleotides) under uncultured bacterium. RNAcentral describes it as "partial 16S ribosomal RNA". It matches the Rfam family "Bacterial small subunit ribosomal RNA", at positions 524 to 776 of the family's 1533-position model. The record is from RNAcentral.
UACGUAGGGGCCGAGCGUUGUCCGGAGUUAUUGGGCGUAAAGCGCGCGCAGGCGGCCUCGCGCGCCCGACGUGAAAGCCCCCGGCUUAGCCGGGGAGGGUCGUUGGGGACGGCGGGGCUUGAGGGCGGGAGAGGUCGGUGGAAUUCCCGGUGUAGUGGUGAAAUGCGUAGAGAUCGGGAGGAACACCUGUGGCGAAGGCGGCCGACUGGGCCGACCCUGACGCUGAGGCGCGAAGGCGUGGGGAGCGAACGGG